CUGUGAACGCGAAUGGCCAUAAAUCAGUUUCGUUUUUUGAUAGUCCUUACUACAUGAUACCUGUGGAAUUCUAGAGCUAAUACAUGCUACAAACCCCGACUUCAGGAAGGGGUGUAUUUUUAGAUAAAAAACCAACGCCCUUCGGGGCUCCUUGGUGAAUCAUAAUAACUUAACGAAUCGCAUGGCCUUGCGCCGGCGAUGGUUCAUUCAAAUUUCUGCCCUAUCAACUUUCGAUGGUAGGAUAGUGGCCUACCAUGGUGGCAACGGGUAACGGAGAAUUAGGGUUCGAUUCCGGAGAGGGAGCCUGAGAAACGGCUCCCACAUCCAAGGAAGGAGCAGGCGCGAAAUACCAAUCCCGCUCGGGAGGAGUAAAACAUCUAUGGGAUAUCGUCCGAAUGAC
RNAcentral lists this ribosomal RNA (400 nucleotides) under Penicillium sp. LBJBS02. RNAcentral's name for it is "bacterial SSU rRNA". It matches the Rfam family "Eukaryotic small subunit ribosomal RNA", at positions 79 to 470 of the family's 1831-position model. Lineage: Eukaryota; Fungi; Ascomycota; Eurotiomycetes; Eurotiales; Aspergillaceae. The record is from RNAcentral.